ACUCAAUAGAUACCCGGGUAGUCCACGCCGUAAACAAUGGAUGCUAGCUGUAUUCGGUAUCGACCCCGGAUGUAGCGAAAGCUAACGCGUUAAGCAUCCCGCCUGUGGAGUACGAGCGCAAGCUUAAAACAUAAAGGAAUUGACGGGGACCCGCACAAGCGGUGGAGCGUGUUGUUUAAUUCGAUGGUAAACGAAGAACCUUACCCAGGCUUGACAUCCUAGGAAGGUCUACGAAAGUAGACUGUGCCUUGUGAGCCUAGUGACAGGUGAUGCAUGGCCGUCGUCAGCUCGUGUCGUGAGAUGUUUGGUUAAGUCCAUCAACGAGCGCAACCCUUAUGUUUAGUUGAAUUUCUCUAAACAGACUGCCCUGGUAACAGGGAGGAAGGGGGGGAUGAUGUCAGGUCAGUAUUUCCCUUACGUCUGGGGCUACAAACACGCUACAAUGGCCGGUACAAAGGGCAGCCAAGUCGCGAGACGGAGCAAAUCCCAUCAAAGCCGGUCUCAGUUCGGAUAGCAGGCUGAAACUCGCCUGCUUGAAGCC
RNAcentral lists this ribosomal RNA (541 nucleotides) under uncultured bacterium. RNAcentral describes it as "bacterial SSU rRNA". It matches the Rfam family "Bacterial small subunit ribosomal RNA", at positions 772 to 1327 of the family's 1533-position model. The record is from RNAcentral.